Molecule: ribosomal RNA, 253 nt
Filed under: uncultured prokaryote
Description: partial 16S ribosomal RNA
Rfam family: Bacterial small subunit ribosomal RNA
Source: RNAcentral
UACAGAGACUGCAAGCGUUGUUCGGAUUCAUUGGGCGUAAAGGGUGCGCAGGCGGUCCGGUAAGUUGGAUGUGAAAUACCAUGGCUUAACCAUGGAAGGUCAUUCAAAACUGCCGGGCUAGAGGACUGGAGAGGAGACUGGAAUAGUCGGUGUAGCGGUGAAAUGCGCAGAUAUCAGGAGGAACACCGGUGGCGAAGGCGGGUCUCUGGGCCGAUACUGACGCUGAGGAGCGAAAGCGUGGGGAGCGAACAGG